CUGCAAUGAUGUGACUUUCUCACUGAAUCCUACCUUAAAGUGCAAAACUACAUGAGCUUUUAACAUUUACAAU
Molecule: small nucleolar RNA, 73 nt
Filed under: Sorex araneus (European shrew)
Lineage: Eukaryota; Metazoa; Chordata; Mammalia; Eulipotyphla; Soricidae
Source: RNAcentral